AGAGUUUGAUCCUGGCUCAGGACGAACGCUGGCGGCACGCUUAACACAUGCAAGUCGAACGAGAGAAGAGGAGCUUGCCUUUCUGAUCUAGUGGCGGACGGGUGAGUAACACGUGAGCAAUCUGCCUCUCAGAGGGGGAUACCGAUUGGAAACGAUCGUUAAUACCGCAUAACAUAAUUGAACCGCAUGAUUUGAUUAUCAAAGAUUUAUCGCUGAAAGAUGAGCUCGCGUCUGAUUAGCUAGUUGGUAAGGUAACGGCUUACCAAGGCGACGAUCAGUAGCCGGACUGAGAGGUUGAUCGGCCACAUUGGGACUGAGACACGGCCCAGACUCCUACGGGAGGCAGCAGUGGGGAAUAUUGCACAAUGGAGGAAACUCUGAUGCAGCGAUGCCGCGUGAGGGAAGAAGGUUUUAGGAUUGUAAACCUCUGUCUUCAGGGACGAAAAAAGACGGUACCUGAGGAGGAAGCUCCGGCUAACUACGUGCCAGCAGCCGCGGUAAUACGUAUGGAGCGGGCGUUGUCCGGAAUUACUGGGUGUAAAGGGAGCGUAGGCGGGAUCGCAAGUCAGAUGUGAAAACUAUGGGCUUAACCCAUAAACUGCAUUUGAAACUGCGGUUCUUGAGUGAAGUAGAGGUAAGCGGAAUUCCUAGUGUAGCGGUGAAAUGCGUAGAUAUUAGGAGGAACAUCAGUGGCGAAGGCGGCUUACUGGGCUUUAACUGACGCUGAGGCUCGAAAGCGUGGGGAGCAAACAGGAUUAGAUACCCUGGUAGUCCACGCCGUAAACGAUGAUUACUAGGUGUGGGGGGACUGACCCCUUCCGUGCCGCAGCAAACGCAAUAAGUAAUCCACCUGGGGAGUACGACCGCAAGGUUGAAACUCAAAGGAAUUGACGGGGGCCCGCACAAGCAGUGGAGUAUGUGGAUUAAUUCGAAGCAACGCGAAGAACCUUACCAGGUCUUGACAUCGUAUGCAUAGCUCAGAGAUGAGUGAAAUCUCUUCGGAGACAUAUAGACAGGUGGUGCAUGGUUGUCGUCAGCUCGUGUCGUGAGAUGUUGGGUUAAGUCCCGCAACGAGCGCAACCCUUACUGUUAGUUGCUACGCAAGAGCACUCUAGCAGGACUGCCGUUGACAAAACGGAGGAAGGUGGGGAUGACGUCAAAUCAUCAUGCCCCUUAUGACCUGGGCCUCACACGUACUACAAUGGCUGUCAACAGAGGGAAGCAAAGCCGCGAGGUGGAGCGAACCCCUAAAAGCAGUCUUAGUUCGGAUUGUAGGCUGCAACCCGCCUACAUGAAGUCGGAAUUGCUAGUAAUCGCAGAUCAGCAUGCUGCGGUGAAUACGUUCCCGGGCCUUGUACACACCGCCCGUCACGCCAUGGGAGUCGGUAACACCCGAAGCCUGUAGUCUAACCGCAAGGAGGACGCAGUCGAAGGUGGGAUUGAUGACUGGGGUGAAGUCGUAACAAGGUA
Molecule: ribosomal RNA, 1470 nt
Filed under: metagenome
Description: bacterial SSU rRNA
Rfam family: Bacterial small subunit ribosomal RNA
Source: RNAcentral